GUUGUGUUGGCGGAAUUUGUAGCUCUUGUUGCUGCUGCCACAGUUCACCGUGUGUGUAUCACAACAUGCUUCCUUUUCUCAGCAGGGUUUCUCUAUGAGAUCAACAGAUUCUCCGGUAUGCUGCUUGCAAGGAGUGAAUCGAAAGCAAAGCGAUACUAGUGAAGGCAGUAAUCGGGUGUAUCGGACAAGAAUGUGGACAUGAAUCGGGGACUUGUUAUCAGAGUGAACUGCUCUCUUUUGAGUCAAUCUAUUGAGACUAUAGUUUUGACAUACUCAGCAUGUUAUCUGCCGUGCUCUAUUUGUUACUGCUAUUAAU
This 316-nucleotide unclassified non-coding RNA is filed under the name Hevea brasiliensis (rubber tree). Lineage: Eukaryota; Viridiplantae; Streptophyta; Magnoliopsida; Malpighiales; Euphorbiaceae. The record is from RNAcentral.